CAGCUCCAGCUGCCGGUAGUCCUCGGCGCUGAUGUUGUACUUCCCCUUGAUCCGGAUCUCCUCGGCUUUGAGUUUCUCCUCCUCGCGCAUCUCGUGGUCCGACUCGAGGGCGUCGAAGACGGCGGCGCCCACCAGCAGAUGGGAACACGGGCCCGGGGACACCGGACAGUUACCAUCCAGAAACCACUCCUGAGCCUCUGCCGGCUUCCGUCCAGCACCUCCUUCAACAGCUCCAGCUCCCUUCUGACCCCAAAGUCACAGCGCCUUGGAUAGCCAAGCCCAACCUCUCCAAAAACAAAACAAAACAAAAACCUUGGUUCUUCCCUUUUUCCCAAAAUAUGGCCUUUGGACUCAAAAGAAGCCCAGAGAGUCAGACUUCGGGGAGGGAUCCUGAGGGCUGGAGGAGGACACACACAGGCUCCCACACAGCCCUCUCUGCACCCCACAUCCCUCCCAUGGUCUUGACCUACAGGUGGACGCGAGCUCCGUGAAGCAGAACCUGGCUCUGGCGAGUCUUCCCAGCACUGUGUCCCCAGCGCUCUCCGCCUCACUCGCUCAGCUAGCAGUGUGGCUGAUACCACUGACAGGCCACAAAGAGGUUCUCUACAUGCGUUGGGCAUAUUCUUAGCCUCUAGGGGCUGAGGAGUAUGACCCCAUCUUAUCCAGAGAAGCCAAGCAGUGUUUUCUGGCCCCACUUAGUGAGCUGGAGUGGAAUCGACUCUCAGCCCAGCCCUUCCGCAGCAGCACUCCGUGAAACCCAUCCUGCUGCUGGCCGAAGGCAGGGAGCUACAGUGUGCUGGCUGGGCUCCGGGGCUGGUGCCCGCGUGCCUCUGGGCAUACUCACCAGUGCUGGCCCAGGACUGACGGCCGAGGUUUCCAGAUCAUCACAUCUCUGUGGUGCUGCUCACGCCUUGACAUGUUAACGCCCCCAUCUUUGAAAAGAGGCAGAGGAGGCAGAACCAUUGCCCCCAUUUUGCAGAUGAGAAAGGUGAGGCAGUAAGCCCCUUGGGCCCCAGUCACAAAUAGAGAGAAGAGAAAGCUGUGAUGGGAUCCUCCCCUUUCCCUGGGGGCCACUGCCAGCACUCUGGGUUCCUCCCUCCAGCCCUAGGGUUACCAGCCCUCACUGAUGGCUCAUGGGCCAUGUCUGCACUUGAAGCCCCCAGCAGGGGCUAAUGCCAGAGGGAAGCGCUCUGUAAGCAGCAGCCAGGUCCACCAGGUCUGCCAGGCUCUUUGGGAUAUGAAUAAGCAUGUCCCCGGGGAAGUGUCUCUGGCCGCACUGGGGACGCUGGUUCAACAGGAAAAUUCAGGAUUUCUCAGAGCCCUCAGUCUGCCAGCAGGCACCAUGGGCCCAGACAGGAGUGCUGUGAACAGCAUUUCCCAGAUUGGUUGGAUCACGGAAUCUGCCUCUGGGCACAGAGCUGACCUCAGAGCCAGGUCCCAAGCCACUCUUUGGGAACCACAGCCCCAGCCCGGGUUGCUGGGCAUAGAGGGGCAGGAAGCCUGGAUCCCACUUCUGGACGCACACAGGCAAACCCUCCUCCAGCUCAGGUCCUGGCAGCCUGCAGUCAGUCCAUCCCCCUCUCUCCUCUGCCUGCAACUACCUCUGAGCACGCGGGCUCUUGCACUCCCCUGCUGAAAACCCUCCAGGAGCUCCUGGCCAAACCUCGGCCCACCCUCGGUGUCGGCACCCUCAGCCCCUGCCUCCUUCCCCCGUCCUGCGGGGCAGCCUUCAGCACAACGGUCCUCACAGCACCCAGCACCUCUGUGCCUUGUUCAUGCUGUUCCCCCUGCCUGUGUGCCUUUCCCUGUCCUCUUCGGGCUCUCAUCUCCUCAUCUUUCAAGAUUCAGCUGCGACAGCACGUCCUCCAGGAGCUUCCCCGGUCCCCAGGCUGGCCGAGGCUCCCGUGUCCCUGCACAUACUCCUGUCCCAUCUCCCCUGCCGGACUCAGCUCCUCGAGUGAGGGCUGUGCCUGCCUCGUCUUGGUCGAGCAGGGCCUGCCGCUUGGCAGGUAGCCAGCAGGUGCACUGCUUGAUGGCAAUGAAAGGGCAGGGUCAGGUUCACUCACCCGCAGGUCUGAGGUCAUCGCCCCACAUGAGGUCUCUCUUAGGAAAGCAGGAAGACGUAGAUGCGCAGAACAGAGAGGGAAGUGUGCUGUGCAGAUGACAGAUGUGGCUGCCGGCCAGGAUCCUGUAGGUCCCCACACUUUAGGCCGUGACUCUGAUGUCACUGGGGGUCCGGUGCAGAGAAGGAAGAGGAGAAAGAGCAAGAAAGACGUAGAGGGAGAGGGAGAAGAUGCUAUGGGAGAGGCUCAGGCAGAGGAAGAAGUGGGGACGGGGUCUGCGGGGGGGGGGGGGGGGUCAAGGGCCCCCAGGACUGGAACGAGUAGAUGGGUGACCUUCCCUGGGCCUCGGCCCAUGGCAGACAUUGCUGAUCGAUCCCAGCCCUGUCUUUGGCCGAGAGGAUCUUGAACACAGGCAUAUACACAGGGCUCAUCCUGGGCCCAGCACUGACCUGUUUCCCUUCAAGGCCAUCACCAGUCUGGCCUCCGCUGAGAUGACAAAGAAGAGCCUGCACACAACGUGAGAGGACACAGGGAGCCAUGGUCGGUUCUUGAGCAGGAGAGUGGUGCCGUGAUAGUGGCGUACGUCCCUCUGCUGUGCUGAUCCUGGGUACGUGCUUCUUGAACGCCUGCUGGAUGCUGGGCCCGAGUUGGGUGUUGUGUCCUCAUGACGGCUCUGCAAGACUCGUCAUCAUCCCCGCUCAGGACAGUCGUCCAAGCUUAGGACAGUAGCCGUGGCGCCACUGCCCUUGGGGUGGGGGUGGGGUGGGAGUUAGGGCGCUGUGCCCUGGCCUCUCCAGGCACAGGCAACAAGGGGCCGGACCAGUAAGCUGGCAGGAAGGACAAGAAGGAAGAGGCAGAGUGAGCCCAGUCCCUGGUACACAGCAGGUGUCAUAAGUUAUUUUGUGGAUUCCAUGAUUGAAUCCAGAAGAUGCCGAGAUAAGUCCCAGGGUUCGGUGACACGUAGUGAGGGUCAGACUGGAGGCAGAUGGGCUCCUAAGAUACCAGAGGCAGAGCCAGUGAUGGAGAAGGGAAACUGCCUUGGUCUGCCCACAGGGGUCCAGAACGUUAUGUCAGGGAGCAGGGAAAGUGGUUCUGAGAGUGGACAGUCAGAGCCUGUGGCCCGUGGGUUGUCAGACCUCCAGCUUCCCCGGAUACCUGUUGACAAGCAACCUGGGUACAUGAGCCGCAAACUGCCCCGGGCUCCUCCCAGGGCGUCAAGCCCAGGUGGGCCCUUCUCGGCAUUUCUUGGGUCUCAGAGACUUCAGCGAGGUGUCCCACUGUGGCCAGGAGGGCACAAUCACCCGGGGAGUCCACACGCGACACUGCUGCAGGGACGGAAGGUGUGGGGAGUCGGGGCUCAGGAGGGCUCCGACCCGCUCCCGGAGCGAGGGGACGUUUAAGAGCAGGAACUUUAUUUCACAGACGGCAAAGCAGCCAGUCCUCCCAGACUCAGGGGCACGUGGCGGACGAAGGAAGCACUGGGAGGCAAAGCCAGGCUAAGGUGCCCGUCUUUCAAGCCGAGGACACCUCCAAAGCUCCAGAUGCGCGCGCGCGCGCGCACACACACACACACACACA
Molecule: long non-coding RNA, 3641 nt
Organism: Mustela lutreola (European mink)
Lineage: Eukaryota; Metazoa; Chordata; Mammalia; Carnivora; Mustelidae
Exons: 3
Source: RefSeq, a predicted model, not a curated record